This 253-nucleotide ribosomal RNA is filed under the name uncultured Eubacteriales bacterium. RNAcentral's name for it is "uncultured Clostridiales bacterium partial 16S ribosomal RNA". It matches the Rfam family "Bacterial small subunit ribosomal RNA", at positions 524 to 776 of the family's 1533-position model. The record is from RNAcentral. Lineage: Bacteria; Bacillati; Bacillota; Clostridia; Eubacteriales.
UACGGAGGAUUCAAGCGUUAUCCGGAUUUACUGGGUGUAAAGGGAGCGUAGACGGCAGCGCAAGUCUGGAGUGAAAUCCCAUGGCUUAACCAUGGAACUGCUUUGGAAACUGGCGGGCUAGAGUGCGGGAGGGGUAAGCGGAAUUCCUAGUGUAGCGGUGAAAUGCGUAGAUAUUAGGAGGAACACCGGUGGCGAAGGCGGCUUACUGGACCGUAACUGACGUUGAGGCUCGAAAGCGUGGGGAGCAAACAGG